This 250-nucleotide ribosomal RNA is filed under the name uncultured bacterium. RNAcentral's name for it is "partial 16S ribosomal RNA". It matches the Rfam family "Bacterial small subunit ribosomal RNA", at positions 525 to 775 of the family's 1533-position model. The record is from RNAcentral.
ACGUAGGGAGCGAGCGUUGUCCGGAAUUACUGGGUGUAAAGGGAGCGUAGGCGGGGUCUCAAGUCGAAUGUUAAAUCUACCGGCUCAACUGGUAGCUGCGUUCGAAACUGGGGCUCUUGAGUGAAGUAGAGGCAGGCGGAAUUCCUAGUGUAGCGGUGAAAUGCGUAGAUAUUAGGAGGAACACCAGUGGCGAAGGCGGCCUGCUGGGCUUUUACUGACGCUGAGGCUCGAAAGCGUGGGGAGCAAACAG